AUGAAAAUUGUACCUUACAGAAAAUUAUUUGGUUGCAAGAAAAAUGACAAGUUUAACUUGGGUAUUGCAGGGGCCACUAACAAGGUGGCGACCCUGAAGGAGGCGGUGGCCGCGGCCGAACGCAAUGCAGCCACGGAGCGCACCAAGCGAGAGAGGCAGGAGGCGCAGGUGGCGGAGGUACAGCAAGAGCUCCAGGAUCUCGUGAAAAAACAUGAGAGCUUGGAGCGUGACUCGAAGACUCGAGAGUCUGAGCUUGCAACGGCUCUUGAGAGUGCCAAAGCCGCUAAGGCCGAAGCCUACAAGGCCCUCCAGGAGAUUGAGGCGGCGAAGAAAAUAGCAGCGGGUAAGGCAUUUUUCAUGCAAAGUAAGCAUGUGAGUGUUAAUUACCUGUUGCUUACCCGAAUUCGGAGCUCUCCAGGAGCGUUCGCAGAUCUUCCUAGCAGCGUGUCCGAUUCUGCCGCAUUUUACCGAGCCGAGGAGGGGAGCUCGACGGAGAAGGUCUUCUGGUCUCAGUAUGCUGAGGCCGGACAUCCGGUGCCCCUUAGCGACCAGCUGAAGCAGCUGGUCGAGCUCCACAAGGCGGCCGAACAGUCCAUGAAGGGCCUCAUAGUUCGGCUGUGGCCUAAGGAGGCCAUGCCUGGGAGCUACUUCGGCCUAGUGCGGCGGCUGGUUGAUGCGUGCCCGUGGGUUGAAGUCAUCAAGCAUUCUGCUUGUAUUGAAGGUGCCCGCCGGGCCCUUGCCCGCGCAAAGGUGCACUGGGGCAAGAUGGAUGCCUAG
Molecule: ribosomal RNA, 777 nt
Filed under: Triticum aestivum (bread wheat)
Lineage: Eukaryota; Viridiplantae; Streptophyta; Magnoliopsida; Poales; Poaceae
Description: partial small subunit ribosomal RNA
Source: RNAcentral